This 302-nucleotide long non-coding RNA is filed under the name Trifolium pratense (red clover). Its description in RNAcentral is "long non-coding RNA (TPRA_LNC000250)". Lineage: Eukaryota; Viridiplantae; Streptophyta; Magnoliopsida; Fabales; Fabaceae. The record is from RNAcentral.
CCGGUUGAAGACAUUCCACCAACGAGAGCACCGGUCGUGGACAUUCCCCCUACACUACCACCAGUUGAAGACAUUCCACCAACGAGAGCACCGGUCGUGGACAUUCCCCCUACACUACCACCAGUUGAAGAUAUUCCACCAAAGCGUGCACCAGUGUCAUCACCACCACCACCUGUGAGUCGUGUCAUUCCCCCUGGACUUUUCAAAUCACCACCACCACCAGUUUACUCUCCUCCACCACCUGUCCACUCACCUCCUCCACCAGUCUACUCUCCACCACCACCACCACCUGUUCACUCACC